Hibiscus syriacus is the source of this 88-nucleotide small nucleolar RNA. RefSeq annotates it as small nucleolar RNA snoR53Y. The transcript has a single exon. The record is from RefSeq and is a predicted model, not a curated record. Lineage: Eukaryota; Viridiplantae; Streptophyta; Magnoliopsida; Malvales; Malvaceae.
GUUCCCAAUGAUGCUUGAAAUUUUAAACCAUGCCUAAUGCUGAUAAUCCAGUGAUUAUAAAGUAUCAUUGAUAUAUUCUGAGGGAACU